UUGAAAGGGAAACGAUUGAAGUCAGUCGUACCAGCGGGAAAUCAACCUUUCGAGUGGGGGUUUUGGAGUUUUUUGAAGAGUGUCAAAACCUUUGAGAUUUCAAAAUUUUCGCUCUUUUGGUGUACUUUCUCGUGGGUAGGUUAACAUCGAUUUUGAUCAUCAUAAAAAGAUUGGAGGAAUGUAGCUUCGAUCUUGUAUUGAAGUGUUAUAGCCUUUGGUAAAUGUGAUGAUUAGGAUCGAGGAUUGCAACGAAUACCCUUUUGGGCUAUCCGCCUGAUCUCUGAUACGUGGCCUUGGUAUCGAAAGCGUGCUUAUGGUAUUGAGGUAUUACGGUCAAAAGGUUAGAACGGAUUACAUUCGUUAAGGAUGUUGACGUA
This 377-nucleotide ribosomal RNA is filed under the name uncultured Glomeromycotina. RNAcentral's name for it is "LSU rRNA". Lineage: Eukaryota; Fungi; Glomeromycota. The record is from RNAcentral.